Long non-coding RNA from Mus musculus (house mouse), 775 nucleotides. RefSeq annotates it as predicted gene, 39035. The record is from RefSeq and is a predicted model, not a curated record. NCBI's taxonomy places the organism in Eukaryota, Metazoa, Chordata, Mammalia, Rodentia, Muridae. The transcript has 6 exons.
AAGGAAGGAAACAGGAGUGUAGUCUUGCAAACUUGCAGUUACUAAACACUUUUUCUUCACGGAGGCUCCGAAGAUCUCACAGUGCUCCUAGUCCGUUCCUAAAAGACCACCAGGCAGAGAACAGCUUCCGUUUUCACUACCACAACCCUAGGAACCAAACCUAGGAAACCUGUGCCAUUGAAGUUCCUGUUCUGCGGUUCCUGCAGCCCAACCAUAAGCUGAAAAUGGCUCCCAGCCUUUUGCAAGCAUCAAUGCUAUAGAAAGCGAAAGGGCUACAGACAGAGAUGUCUAAGGUGAUAUCUUCUGCUUGCACCCGCAAAGAUGAGCUAUCCUGCUCCCUCCGGACCCCACCCCCAGGGGAGUGGACCUUCUGAUGUUGGUUUUGUCUUUACCUGUCCUAAGCCAUGGCAUUUUGCAAGAACAACAGAAACCCUGACUAGGACUCUUCCAUAGGUUCUAAAGGAAAGGAAACUCAGAAUACAUCUUCUGGGGGACAGGUGGACCAUGCCAUCAGACAAGAGAACUGGUAAGGUUGACUGAGCUCAACCCACUGAAUCAAAGAAUUAAGAAAGGGUGCAACAAAUCACUAUUGCUGCAGGGAACACCGUGACCAAUAAUCAAGUUGAGAGGAAAGGCUGAUUCGGCUUACUCUUCCAUACCACUGUUUGUCAUCACAGCAAGUCAUGACAGGAACUCAAGACAUGGCAGGAACCUGGAGGCAGGAGCUGAUGCAGAGGCCAUGGGCAUUUUUUCAGUUGAGGCUCCUUCCUCUCUG